GAAAAGGCAGGCUGAGGGUCUGUGUGCGCAUGCCUCCUUCCCACCGCAGGGCCUGACGGCAUCAUGUCUCGGGGAGGGGGCUCGGCAGGCGAGGCGUGUGGGCGCAGAGGGCUGGGGAGCCCAGAGGCCGGCCUCCUUCUUGCUGUCCCCCCGCCGCCCGUAGGGGACCACAGAGCUGGGAAGGGGCACUGCUCGUGGGUGCGGGGGGGGGGGGGGUGGGCCGGGGCCUGGUGGCGUCACAGCGACCCGAGCGGGGAGGGCCGGCGGGCGACCCAUCCGCAAGCGGAAGACAGAGGUGGAGAGGUCAGAGCGGGAGGGCCUCCUUGGACUGCAGUUCUGCGUGUGCUAAUGAGCUUGAACUCUGGCCCCACUGCAGCCCGCCUGGCGGGGUCGUCCUGAGGCGGUGGCAUUAUCGGUUCCCCAAGACUCCGGCGACCCCCAGCCGUCCCCGUGCUGUUUGGGGCCAGACGCGGACGCCCGCUUCCAGCCGGAGCCGAGAGGUUGACACCGCUGGCGGCCUCCGCAGCCAGUGGGGCGCUGGAGCACGGAGGGCCGACCUAGCAGCCUGCCCCCGAGGUGGGGGAGGCCCGGAACCCCUCCCAGGAGGCUGGAUGAGGAGCUGAGUUCACUUCCUGAUUUGCCUGGAAAAUACCCUUGGAAUCCACUUGGCAAGUGGCCGCGGUACCUUUGCGGGAGGACAUUUCUUCCGCUUGCAGGGAGAGCACACACGGCGUGGAGGCCCCUCCCGGCUGGACACACAGGCUGGACUUCCCUGGGGUGACUCACGGGUGCCCGACUUCCCCUCUGUCCGGGCCAGGGGCGAGGACGCACAGUGGGUGCCCAGGCGGCUUCCCCGGGGGCAGGAGGGACUGCCAUGGGGACCCGCCAGGCCAGAGAUGGUGCUCUUGCUUCCUGGGGGACACGAUGCAUCUGGGGGCAUCCCGGAGCCCCUCCCCAAGGGGCGUCCGGAGCGGGAGGGCCUCUCGGAAUAGUCUCUUCUUGUCCCUCCCUCAGCCCCGGACGUGGGGCUGGAGCUCCUGACCCAGCACGGCGGCCCAGCUUCCGACAGGAUGGCCUGGCGGCCGAGAUGCAGGGGACAAACGCAGGGUGCGCCGUACGGGGCCUUCUGGAGCCGCAGCCUGAGGGGCUCCGGGGGAACGGACAGGGGAGGAGCCGUGCCCUCUCCCCGAGCCUGUUUCCUCGCCUUCGAACCCCUCACCGCAGCGUAGGAAUCCAGGCCCAACUGGGGAGGUGGCCGGUGCUGUCUUCAGUGGGUCCCUUCUGCCUCUGUGCCUCAGUCUUCACCCCUGAGAAGUGGGCGCCUACCCUCGCGGAGGGCAGAAGAUGCUGCGUGAUCGCCGCGUGUGUAAGAGGUGCCGUGCGUGAGGGAUGCUCUCGUUACAAAUGUUAAUGAAGGAGGCAGGGGGGACUGGAGCCCGGGUCUGGGGGCAGCCUCGCCCCACCAAGCUGGCGAGACCCCGGACCAGGGGCCUGGGCCCUGAGCCUCUGUCUCUUGAUCUGUAAAAGGCGGUAGCUGCAUCAGUUGUCCACAGCCCGCCUGGGAUCCGACGUGACGGACAGGUGCCGGGAUGACAUUUGUGGGUGGGCGAUCAGGCCGGGAGGCACCAGCGUUGUCUUUGCCCGAAUUUCCCCCCCAGAAUGUGGGCCACGGGCCAGCUGGACGUCACCUGGAGGGGCCCUGGACGGAGACAGCCUCGGAGGAAGGCCGGGCCUCUGUGUGGAAGUCCGCUCCGCCCCACAGCGCGUCCUGGGCUGCAGUUAGCUUCUCUGUCGCUUCCCCGAGGGCAGAUGUUGGGCGGAGAUCUGCCCUCCCGGAGCUGGAAGCGUCAGGAUGCGCAGGGCAGCCAGAGCGGAUGAUGGCAUCCGGCGGGUAAAACGAGCCCAUCGGGUGAGGCCCAGCUGGACGCAGGUCACAGGCCCGGACGCCUGAUACCCCUGAGAAGGCCACCUUCCCCCCGCUGUCACUGAGCCGUGUUGCUGUGGAGACGGCCCCUGCCGGGCACAGAAGAUGCCUUCCGAGCGGGAGGUGGGCAGGCGAGGGUGGCAAGGGGAGCUGGGGGCAGGGCGUCCACGUGUCUGGGGAGCGGGACAAUGGCUGCUGGCCGCUGGCCCCUUCAGAGCAGGCCUGUGGCGGUCAGUUUCCCUCCCAACUUCUCCCCAACAUUUGAGCUCGCUUUGUGAGAGAGCAAGACACAGGGAUCCUUUUUCAGAGGAUCACCUCCUUUCUUUCUUGUUGAAAAGUCAGAGGCCACGGGCGCCCGGGUGGCUCAGUCGGCCAAGCGUCCGACUUCGGCUCAGGUCACGAUC
Leopardus geoffroyi (Geoffroy's cat) is the source of this 2328-nucleotide long non-coding RNA. RefSeq lists it as uncharacterized. The record is from RefSeq and is a predicted model, not a curated record. The transcript has 3 exons. NCBI's taxonomy places the organism in Eukaryota, Metazoa, Chordata, Mammalia, Carnivora, Felidae.